Molecule: ribosomal RNA, 252 nt
Filed under: uncultured Oscillospiraceae bacterium
Lineage: Bacteria; Bacillati; Bacillota; Clostridia; Eubacteriales; Oscillospiraceae
Description: partial 16S ribosomal RNA
Rfam family: Bacterial small subunit ribosomal RNA
Source: RNAcentral
UACGGAGGAUGCGAGCGUUAUCCGGAUUUAUUGGGUUUAAAGGGUGCGUAGGCGGAAUAUCAAGUCAGCGGUAAAAAUUCGGGGCUCAACCCCGUCGUGCCGUUGAAACUGUGCUUCUUGAGAGUGGGAGAGGUAAACGGAAUUCCUGGUGUAGUAGUGAAAUGCGUAGAUAUCAGGAGGAACACCGGUGGCGAAGGCGGUUUACUGGACCACAACUGACGCUGAGGCUCGAAAGCGUGGGGAGCAAACAGG